CAGUUUGCUCAGUGGCAGUAUUGUAGCCAAUGAGGUUUAUCUGAGGCACAAUGAUUGCUAAUUGAAAAUUAAAUAAUAAAAAACUGCCUACAAGUAUUUAGAAAUUGUAACAGAAA
This is a small nuclear RNA of Otolemur garnettii (small-eared galago), 116 nucleotides long. Its record names the gene U4. It matches the Rfam family "U4 spliceosomal RNA". From Rfam's summary of the family: U4 small nuclear RNA (U4 snRNA) is a component of the major U2-dependent spliceosome. The structure of U4 snRNA from yeast and human has been reported. U4 snRNA presents a k-turn RNA motif in the 5p-SL related to recognition of Snu13 protein. The record is from Ensembl. Lineage: Eukaryota; Metazoa; Chordata; Mammalia; Primates; Galagidae.